Molecule: long non-coding RNA, 1539 nt
Organism: Oncorhynchus nerka (sockeye salmon)
Lineage: Eukaryota; Metazoa; Chordata; Actinopteri; Salmoniformes; Salmonidae
Exons: 2
Source: RefSeq, a predicted model, not a curated record
AUGUGUUUUGUAUCAUGUGGACUGAUGUGUUUUGUAUCAUGUGGACUGAUGUGUUUUGUAUCAUGUGGACUGAUGUGUUUUGUAUCAUGUGGACUGAUGUGUUUUGUAUCAUGUGGACUGCUGUGUUUUUACUGCCUUGUAUAUUAUCUUGCAGUUUUAAAGCUGAUUUCCUGCGAUUCACCAUUGCUUAUAUCCUGUUCAUAUUAUUAUUUAUUUUUGGGUUGGGGCCCUCUGGAGGUUAGGGCCCCCUAGAGGUUGGUGGCUCCCUGGAGGUUGGGGCCCCCUGGAGGUUGGGGCCCCCUGGAGGUUGGGGGCCCCCUAGAGGUUGGUGGCUCCCUGGAGGUUGGGGCCCUCUGGAGGUUGGUGGCUCCCUGGAGGUUGGUGGCUCCCUGGAGGUUGGUGGCCCCCUGGAGGUUGGGGCCCCCUGGAGGUUGGGGGCUCCCUGGAGGUUGGGGGCCCCCUGGAGGUUGGGGCCCCCUGGAUGUUGGGGGCCCCCUGGAGGUUGGUGGCCCCCUGGAGGUUGGGGGCCCCCUGGAGGUUGGGGGCCACCUGGAGGUUUACCUGUAAAAAUACAGGUAAAACAAGCUGUAUGUCCUGGAUAAUAGUGGGCCCUGACAUGAUUGACACCUUGAUAAAUGAUUGACACCUUGAUAAAUGAUUGACACCUUGAUAAAUGAUUGACACCUUGAUAAAUGAUUGACACCUUUGAUAAACUGCUCAGAUAAAGAGAUUUAGUUUAAAACCUCGGACCUCUACAGAAGAUUUAGUUUAAACCCUCUUAAGGACCUCUACAGAAGAUUUAGUUUAAACCCUCUUAAGGACCUCUACAGAAGAUUUAGUUUAAACCCUCUAGGACCUCCUCUUCUCUCUACAGAAGGGGCAGAUCCUUAAAGUCGUCUUUUUAUUCACACCUGUUUUCAGUACAUUUCAAUUCAAUUCAAAUUACUUUAUUGGCAUGACUUAACAAUGUACAUAUUGCCUUUCAAUACCACACCUUGUGAGGAUAACGGCAAUGAGCCUUUUUCUAAAAUGCUUUAUUAGUUGGAGAACACAUUAGGAGGGAUUGUGGCCCAUUGCCCUCUUCUAUUCAAACCACCAGUUUCCAAUGGGUUUUCAGUCCGGAGACUGAGGUGGCCAUUGCAAAAUGUUGAUUUUGUGGCCAAAUAACCAUUCAUUUGUGGAUUUUGAUGUGUGCAGAGGCAACCAUUUUUUUGGCUAAAAUGUCCUGGUACUGGAUAAAAGUUCAUGAUGCCGUUGACCUUACCAAGAGCCCCGGACCAGUGGAGCAAAAGGAGCCCACAGCUACUGUAGAACAUGCUGGUGGAUCUGUAAUGUUAUGGGGCUAUUGACCUUCCACUGGUCCGGGGCCCUUGGUAAGGUCAACGGCAUCAUGAACUUUACCCAGUACCAGGACAUUUUAGCCAAAACACUUUUUGGGUUACUACAUGAUUCAAUAUGUGUUAUAUCAUAGUUUUGAUGUCUUCACUAUUAUUCUACAAUGUAGAAAAUAGUAAAAAUAAAGAAAAACCCUGGAAUGAG